UACGUAGGGGGCAAGCGUUAUCCGGAUUUACUGGGUGUAAAGGGAGCGUAGACGGUUAUGCAAGUCAGAAGUGAAAGCCCAAAGCUCAACUUCGGGACUGCUUUUGAAACUGUGUAACUAGAGUGCAGGAGGGGUAAGCGGAAUUCCUAGUGUAGCGGUGAAAUGCGUAGAUAUUAGGAGGAACACCAGUGGCGAAGGCGGCUUACUGGACGGCAACUGACGCUGAGGCUCGAAAGCGUGGGGAGCAAACAGG
This 253-nucleotide ribosomal RNA is filed under the name uncultured bacterium. Its description in RNAcentral is "partial 16S ribosomal RNA". It matches the Rfam family "Bacterial small subunit ribosomal RNA", at positions 524 to 776 of the family's 1533-position model. The record is from RNAcentral.